AGUUUGAUCCUGGCUCAGAUUGAACGCUGGCGGGAUGCUUUACACAUGCAAGUCGAACGGCAGCACGGACUUCGGUCUGGUGGCGAGUGGCGAACGGGUGAGUAAUGUAUCGGAACGUGCCUUAGUAGCGGGGGAUAACUACGCGAAAGCGUUACCACGCGCACGCCCUUCGGGGAAAGCGGGGACCUUCGGGCCUCGCACUAUUAGAGCGGCCGAUAUCGGAUUAGCUAGUUGGUGGGUAACGGCUCACCAAGGCGACGAUCCGUAGCUGGUUUGAGAGGACGACCAGCCACACUGGGACUGAGACACGGCCCAGACUCCUACGGGAGGCAGCAGGGAAUUUUGGACAAUGGGAAACCCUGAUCCAGCCAUCCCGCGUGUGCGAUGAAGCGUACCGGGUUGUAAAGCACUUUUGGCAGGAAAGAAACGGCACGGGAUAAUACCCCGUGCAACUGAUUUGGUACCUGCAGAAUAAGCACCGGCUAACUACGUGCCAGCAGCCGCGUAAUACGUAGGGUGCAAGCGUUAAUCGGAAUUACUGGGCGUGAAGCGUGCGCAGGCGGUUUGAAAGAAAGAUGUGAAAUCCCAGAGCUUAACUUUGGAACUGCAUUUUUAACUACCGAGCUAGAGGUGUCAGAGGAGGUGAAUUCGCGUAGCAGUGAAAUGCGUAGAUAUGCGGAGGAACACCGAUGGCGAAGGCAGCCUCCCGGGAUAACACUGACGCUCAUGCACGAAAGCGUGGGGAGCAAACAGGAUUAGAUACCUCUGGUAGUCCACGCCCCAAACGAUGUCAACUAGCUGUUGGGGCCUUCGGGCCUUGGUAGCGCAGCUAACGCGUGAAGUUGACCGCCUGGGGAGUACGGUCGCAAGAUUAAACUCAAAGGAAUUGAUUGGGACCCGCACAAGCGGUGGAUGAUGUGGAUUAAUUCUGAUGCAACGCGAAAACCCUACCUACCCUUGAUGUAUGUCUGGAAUCCCGAAGAGAUUUGGGAGUGCUCGCAAGAGAACCGGAACACAGGUGCUGCAUGGCUGUCGUCAGCUCGUGUCGUGAGAUGUUGCCAAGUCCCGCAACGAGCGCAACCCUUGUCAUUAGUUGCUACGAAAGGGCACCCUAAUGAGACUGCCGGUGACAAACCGGAGGAAGGUGGGGAAGACGUCAAGUCCUCAUGGCCCUUAUGGGUAGGGCUUCACACGUCAUACAAUGGUCGGGACAGAGGGUCGCCAACCCGCGAGGGGAGCCAAUCCCAGAAACCCGAUCGUAGUCCGAUCGCAGUCUGCAACUCGACUGCGUGAAGUCGGAAUCGCUAGUAAUCGCGGAUCAGCAUGUCGCGGUGAAUACGUUCCCGGGUCUUGUACACACCGCCCGUCACACCAUGGGAGUGGGUUUUACCAGAAGUAGUUACUCACCGUAAGGAGGGCGAUUACCACGGUAGGAUUCAUGACUGGGGGGAAGUCGUAACAAGGUAACUCUGCGCCGUCAUUCGAUGC
This 1488-nucleotide ribosomal RNA is filed under the name uncultured Bordetella sp. Its description in RNAcentral is "partial 16S-23S ribosomal RNA intergenic spacer". It matches the Rfam family "Bacterial small subunit ribosomal RNA". Lineage: Bacteria; Pseudomonadati; Pseudomonadota; Betaproteobacteria; Burkholderiales; Alcaligenaceae. The record is from RNAcentral.